This is a non-coding RNA of Pelobates cultripes (western spadefoot toad), 125 nucleotides long. NCBI's taxonomy places the organism in Eukaryota, Metazoa, Chordata, Amphibia, Anura, Pelobatidae. The record is from the annotation of a GenBank genome assembly.
AUGUGUCUGUGUAUGCGCCAGUGUGUGUAUCUCUGUGUCAGUGUGUAUGUGUGUGUAUAACUGACACACAGAUACACACAUGCACAGUGGUACACAGAUACACACACCUUAACACACAGUGUGUA